UAUAAGAUAGAAUGAUGAACUAGAGCAUACUUGACAUUUGCUACACUCUAGUGGCAAUAUGCAAAGAGUUCUAUGGGCUCAUUGGAAAUCAUCAGGUGGCCUUGACCCACUUUGGACAGAGUGUUUUCCUCCUCACCAUCUGCAACUCUAAACCAAAACCUGACCCUAGAUGACACUUCUUGUAUCACCAAGUUCCUAAUUCAAUCUCUUUUUAAA
This 216-nucleotide long non-coding RNA is filed under the name Glycine max (soybean). RNAcentral describes it as "long non-coding RNA (GMAX_LNC004703)". The record is from RNAcentral. Lineage: Eukaryota; Viridiplantae; Streptophyta; Magnoliopsida; Fabales; Fabaceae.